Molecule: long non-coding RNA, 1060 nt
Filed under: Salvator merianae (Argentine black and white tegu)
Lineage: Eukaryota; Metazoa; Chordata; Lepidosauria; Squamata; Teiidae
Description: lncRNA (ENSSMRG00000002069.1)
Source: RNAcentral
AGAAUUUUGCUCCUUGUGGGGCAUCUCUCUGGUCCAUGGCAUCCCAUAUAAUUCUACUGGGCAAGCUAUAGUGGAACGUUGUAAUCGUUCUGUAAAAAUAAUGUUAGAAAAACAAAAACAGAAGGGCGGAAUCCCUGUGGAUCUCCCUGGGAAAACCAACAUGUUAAUGAAAGUUCUUUUCACUUUAAAUCAUCUGAAUUCCGUAGAUACGGCUUCUCCGGUUCAGCGUCAUUUCAUGCCUUUUGAGGAGCUUCCUAAACCAAAAGUUUUAUUUCGGCAAAAACCAGAUCCGCAAUGGAUAGGCCCUGUACCUUUACUAACUUGGGGAAGGGGAUAUGCAUCUGUUUUAUCUCCUACAGGACCUGUGUGGGUCCCAGCUCAUGACAUGCGACCUUGGAAGGGAAAAGAUGUCGUGGCACCAGACCACCACUCUGCCUCUGAGUGCGGAGAUCCAGAACUUGUCUCUCGAAGACGCCCCACAAACGAUGAUGGCCCGACGCAGGGGGCCGCACAAUACACAAAGAGGUCGCAGCAAUCCACCGGUGACUUGGGGACAGAUUAAAGGCCUCUCGUUACAAGCUCAACAGACAUUGGCUCAGCAGAAUGUUCCUCUGACACCAGAAAAUUAUACUGUUGCUAUAAUCUCCUAUUUAAAUGCUAACUCUGUGAUGCUUUGUUGUUUAUUUUUCUGUUUUCUUCCGUUGUCAACCCCUUUGGACCUCUCUCCUGCACUAUCCAAUUUAUGGUUUAGGCAUGCUCAUUCUAUGUUUCAGUCCUAUGGUUCUAAUGUCACCUUAUACUAUGAGCACCCUUUAACUGUCGCUCAACUUUCAUUUUUGCCCUCACUGAUGGACAUCCCAGAAUUUGUUGUCUCUCAGUUACAGCAUGUGCAAAAUUCUACGGUAUUUUCUUAUCCGCCCCACGAGCUAAAUGCAACGUCUUGGCGAAUGUUUANGUUUCNCACUUACACUAAGGGCAUGUGUUUCUGCUGCUAUAGCAGGGGCACAUGGACUAAUAAAUGGAAAGAUUAUACCAGGGCACGCAGANGGCUUGCACNCCU